GUAAUUUUUACCGCGUCACUUCAGGGUGAGUAAGUACCCAGGUCAAGGGCGCCACAGCAGGAGCUGCGAUUCGAACCCGGGUCCAAGGGCGGCAGAUGCAACCGCUACGGCACCAGCUGAUCCCGGGUUCUGGAUGUGGAGUUGGACAUGUGAGUGAUAAAGGACUGUGGUGUCCUGGGACUCUACACUUACAGUUACAGUAGAGUAAAGUACAGUACAGUACUCGGCGUCCGCGCUGCGUGCCGAAGCCGUUCAGCAGGAGGCGCCACACGUCGCGCACAUGGACGCCAAUCCCACUGUCUCCUUGCUGCUGCUGUACAGAAACGACCCGAUUUACUCGCUCUGCGCCCCCGAUCUGAUGAGCGCUUCCCAAAAAGUGAACAACGACUUCAUCAGGGACCAGAAGCAGCUCGUGAAGACGCUGAAGAGACUCGAGCAGCAGAAGCUGGCCCGCCUUCGGCAGCUCAAUGAGGAGAAGAAGCAGUUUGCCUUCAUCAUGAGAAAGAGACUGCCUCCGAGGGGCGCGGGCCCUUCCGCCCCUCCAUUGCUCGGCCUGAGCUGCUGCGCUGCGUCCAAAAUCUCCAUCCCAACUGGACUCUUUGUAGGCACCAGCAGCCACCAGGCCAGCGCCACCACCAUCGGAAGCAUGACGCUGAGCCUCUGUAGCAGCCGCCCAGUGGACUUGUCGACACGCUUCCAGGAACGGCGGGAGGGUCCAAAGGUGUGUGCUGCUCCCACAAGGUGUCCCUGUGAGCGUGGACGCGCCAGUAAAUGGGUGACCAGGAGCGAGAGCUUCUUACCAGCUAUGCAGCACCGCGCCGCUUGGGCCGGAACCUCACAGCACUUCAGUGGACGUGUGAGUGGUGUGAAGAAGCCAGGAAAGAACUGA
RNAcentral lists this long non-coding RNA (889 nucleotides) under Scleropages formosus (Asian bonytongue). RNAcentral's name for it is "lncRNA (ENSSFOG00015030007.1)". Lineage: Eukaryota; Metazoa; Chordata; Actinopteri; Osteoglossiformes; Osteoglossidae. The record is from RNAcentral.